GUAGGUGAACCUGCGGAAGGAUCAUUAGAGGUAUCGGCCCUCCUGGCCAUAAAAAAGCCAGAGAGAGGUAGUCCCAGAUCAACCACUGUGCGCACAUAUUGAAGUUUUCUUUGCUUUUGGUAGGCGUCGUUCGAAGAAUUUUUAUUUAUUUUUUGAACGAUUCUGCCAUAAGUAAUGCCCAAUAUCAAUAUAAGCCUUAUUUGUGACUGAAAUUUUUUUUAAAUAAAAAUACAACUUUCAACAACGGAUCUCUUGGCUCUC
Molecule: unclassified non-coding RNA, 261 nt
Filed under: rhizosphere metagenome
Description: partial ribosomal RNA internal transcribed spacer region
Source: RNAcentral